This 1704-nucleotide unclassified non-coding RNA is filed under the name Manduca sexta (tobacco hornworm). RNAcentral's name for it is "dynein regulatory complex subunit 2, transcript variant X1". The record is from RNAcentral. Lineage: Eukaryota; Metazoa; Arthropoda; Insecta; Lepidoptera; Sphingidae.
GAUCUUUUGGUACAUUUUUAAAAGCCGUUUUACUCAUAGCUCUUAAUUAAUAUAAUUUUAUUAUCAUCAGAUUAGCAUCAUAAUGCCGAAGAAAAGCAAAGUGAACAAGUUAGCUCGCAUGUCUGAUGAGGAACGUGCUCGUUACCUUCAACAUCGAGCUGACAUGGAAGAAGAAGCUCGGAGACGCAAGCAGGAGUUGAUAGCACGGUUUAUAAAGAACAAACUUGAUAAAGAAGAGGCGUACUCUCGUAUGAACACAGCAAAGAUUAACCAAGAAUGGAGAUAUAUUUUACGCAAAAUAAAAUGCAAACAGAUGGCUUUGGAUAUACAGGGUAUGGUAAGCAGCUUUAACUUCAUAAUGGAACGAAAAGACCGGCUUCUAAAAUCACUGAUGCAAGCUCUGGAAGAUUCGGACGAGCAACAUCGACGCGCGUUCCAAGCGCAUACAGAAAACGUCAGCUAUUUCUUAAGUAUAGGUUCUCAACGGCUUGAUAAACUCCAAACUGAGUACGAUUUUCAGAAAAAUACUCUCCUUGAAAAUUGGGAGAAGGAAGAAAUAGACAUAUCAGAUAGUCAGGAGAGAUCAGAGUUCAAGCUGAUUCUAAUAAAAUAUAUACAAGACCGCGAUUUCAUAGCGUACAAAAAACAUAAAGAGUUAGAAAUGGCUACGGCAAAAAAUGAUGCUAAGCUAGAGCAUGAGGAAGAAAUGCGGAGUCUCUGUCAUCCGAAACAGCUAGAGAUCGAGACUUAUUGGUCGAAACUUCGCGAAGUUUACGCUUCGUAUCUAGAGCAACAUAAUCCUAUUAUGGCACAUUACCAAGCGCUUCGGGAGAAAGACGACUUCUACCAGAGGGAUAUUGCGAGAAAUGAGAUACAAAUUCAACAAGCAACUGAAACCGUAAUGACACUUCAAAACGAAUGGCUGAAAACAACGAAUGUGAUGGAGAGCAAACUAUCUCGCAUGCAGAGCCGUAAAGAAGAGUUGUCCAAGAAGUACUGGCAGAUGAAGAAGGAUUUGAACGCCGAGAAGAAUAAAGGCGAAGAAAAGCUAACUAUCAUGGUCAAUGCUAGCCAAGAUGCAAUAAAUCGCCUCGAACAAGUGAAAGAGAAAUUAAACAAAAUAAUGCAAAUGACUGAGAUAUGCCGCAAAUACGAGUUUGAAAACGAUGUUUUAACACUUGACGAAAUUGAAAAUGACAUAAUUGGUCCUGACGAAUAUGAAAAUCUUGAUGGCCCUAUGAUCGUACGUAAUGAGAUAAUAAAUUCAUCAAAGUAUUUCGGUUCUACAAAAGACAAAAAAAAGAUCUAUGGCUGUCACUACAUAUUAUAAAACAAAGAUUUUCCGCCGUGUCUGUCUGUCUGAACGCGAUAAACUCAAAGUCUACCGACUGAAUUUUCAUUCCUUUUUCACCAAUGGUCGCAGAGAUUCAAGAAGCAGAUUUAAGUGCAUAAUUCAUUAACAAUUUGUCAAUACUUAACCGAAUUCCACACUGGUGAAAUUGUGAGCAAAAAACGAAUGCAAAGAAUACAGUAAGAUGGACAAAUUCUUGUUAAAACUAAACAGAGCUAAAGUCCAGACAAUGUGCCUGAAGACCGAAAAAGCCAAACUGGCUAAAGAAAACAUUCAAUUAAAACAUUACAUUAAGAAAUACCUCACAGAACUCGCUUUGAGAGGCAAAGACAGACCGACGAGCGUGAAACAUC